Otolemur garnettii (small-eared galago) is the source of this 108-nucleotide small nuclear RNA. The record is from Ensembl. NCBI's taxonomy places the organism in Eukaryota, Metazoa, Chordata, Mammalia, Primates, Galagidae.
UUUUUAUGCUCACUUCAACAAGACACAUUCUAAAGGUGAAAUGACGCAGAGAUAAGCAUGACCCCGAGCAAGGACGACUUGCAAAUUUGUGAAGUGUUCCAUAUUUUU